GCUUGUGUGUUUCUUACUUGAUUCAUCUGUGCAUGUUUGCUUAUGUGUGCCUUUGUGCAUUUAUCAUCAUUACUUGUAUAUCAUUUCAUAAACAUUGUUCAUCACUUUGUAAUAUUUUGUUUUGUCCAUGGAGGAGGCAAGCAUAAGUCCAUUGAUUGGUAGUUGUUUCCUGUGAUAUGGUAGGAGACUAGUAUAAGUCCAUUGAUUGGCAUCCGGUAUC
Molecule: long non-coding RNA, 220 nt
Filed under: Lathyrus oleraceus (garden pea)
Lineage: Eukaryota; Viridiplantae; Streptophyta; Magnoliopsida; Fabales; Fabaceae
Description: Pisum sativum (pea) long non-coding RNA (PSAT_LNC019099)
Source: RNAcentral